Molecule: non-coding RNA, 33 nt
Submitted as: unclassified sequences
Source: Rfam
GGCGCGGAAUCCGAAAAGCGAAAAGAGUAGGAA